Molecule: long non-coding RNA, 3775 nt
Organism: Oncorhynchus tshawytscha (Chinook salmon)
Lineage: Eukaryota; Metazoa; Chordata; Actinopteri; Salmoniformes; Salmonidae
Exons: 4
Source: RefSeq, a predicted model, not a curated record
AACUACAGGUGUAGACUAACAGUGAAAUGCUUACUUACAGGCCCUUACCAACAAUGCAGAAUACAAUAAUGAUAAUAAUAAUAAUAGAGUAAAACAAUAGUAACACGAAGAAUAAAUACACAAUGAGCAAUGAUAGCUUGGAUAUAUAGAUGGGGUACGACUACCGAGUCGAUGUGCAUGGGUAUGAGGUAAUUGAGGUAGAUGUGUACAUAUAGGUAGGGGUAAAUUGACUAGGCAACAGGAUAGAAUGUAGACAGUAGCAGCACCGGAUGAGAUGAGUGUGUAAGUGUUUAAGUGUGUGUGUGUCAGUGGAGGCUGCUGAGGAGAGGAAGGCUCAUAAUUAUGUCUGGAACGGAGCUAAUGGAAUGGCAUCAAGCACAUGGAAACCACGUGUUUGAUGUAUUUGAUACCAUUCCACUUAUUCCGUUCCAGCCAUUACCAUGAGCCCAUGAGUCCUCCCCAAUUAAGGUGCCACCAACGCCCUGUGGUGUGUGGUGAAUGUAUGCCUGUGUGUACGUGUUGUGUGUGUGUGUGGGUGUGAUUGUGUGUGUGUAUGUGUUGGAGUAUCAGUGUAAGUAUGCGUGAGUGUGUGCGCAUAGUGUCUCUUCACUGUCCGCGUUGUGGCUUGAGGUUGUUUAAUCUUUUUUUUAAAUCAUAUUUUACUGUUCUCUUGAGUUAUUUGAUGUGGAAGAAAGUUCCCUGUAUUCAUGGCUCUAUCUCAGGGGUAUUCAACCAGGGGUUAGCGGAGGUACUGCAGGGGGUCCACGAAUAUACUGUAUAUUUUUUGGUGGAAUUUUUAUUUUGUUUUACUUCAAUGUUUUUAUGAAUAUCGCAAGCAAUAACAGAAUAAACUCAAUUUGAAUUACAUACCUACAGUAGAAAAGAGGAGAAUAUCUUGUUUCUAAUAAUGUCAACUGUAUUUAUGAACUCCAAUACUGAGCCAAUUACACUAAUUGGAGACACAUACACUCACUGGAGUAUCUGACAUAGGAUUUGAAAAGGCCUCUCCUUGCCAUUAAGUAAAGGUUGAAGAGCCCUGUUCUAUGUAGUCAAGUGCUAGAGCUGCAGUAUAGUGAGAUGUUUUCAUUAGAAAAUAUACAAAAACAUUAAAUAUUCUGAAUGUAUUUAUGUUGCGAUUCAAUCCAUAUUAAAACAGAAAUGAAAUAAAAGUACAUCAUUGACGUAUGUAAGGUACUGGGUGUCGUGAGUGGGAAGUCAGGCGCAGGAAAACAGAGAGUUCAAUAUAGUGCUCUUUUAAUGCACACACGGUGAACCACGGCCACCUCACUAAAUACUGGGUGCUCAAAACAAAAUGCCCCAGACACGGGGAACGAAGCAGUCCCGCACUAUACACGAACAUAAACCAACACGUUCGACAAUAACAAACACCAGGGUUACAAUAAUCAAUCCCGCUCAAAGAAACGGGCGGGCCGGUUGACUAAUAAAGCCCAACUAAUUACAACAAACUAAAACAGGUGAUACCAAUAAACACAUAAGGAGGGGGAGGAAAGAAAUCAGUGGCAGCUAGUAGGCCGGUGACGACGACCGCCGAGCGCCACCCGAACGGGAAGGGGAGCCACCUUCGGUCGGACUCGUGACAACGUAAAGGAAAAUACCCCAAAUAUUUUACUUGUCAGCAAUCUGUAUUUCUGUAUUUUGAAAGUUACAUAUCUUGAACCAAAAUAUAGUUUUCCUUUAUUAAUUGAUUGGGUGAUUGAUUGUUUGUUUAAUAGCUACAAACUUCAGCAUCCUAUCCAUCACAUGACAUCGGGACCUUAAUAGACUAUAGACACCGCCGACUGUAAUGGACAUCCUCAGCUUCAUCACAGGGUGCACACUUGUCUCGCUUGGUCACUGUUGGAUAGUGAAGGUGCCCAAUACUGUGAAGGCAGUAGAUGGUAGUUGUGUAGAAGUGUCCUGUCACACCGACCCCACCACAGGGUCAUCUGGUACCGGUAUCAUAGCAUUCUCUAUCCCAAGGUUUAUGAUGGCAAGGAACCGACCAGUGUGGAGAGCAGCUUUAGAGGGCGUACAUCAGUGCCAGGCAAUGCAUCAGAGGGUGACUGUACACUGAGGGUUGAGAGUGUGACAUGGACCGACAAUAACCUCCAGCUCUACGUGUGGAUCAACCCUGAUGAGUCAGCUACACAAAAUUUCCAUCGUCAGAUCGCAAGGAUUAAAAUUGAAAAUAGAAAAGCCCCUGCCUUAUCCAUGAAGAAUGCAUUGGUGGAUGGAGCCUUAUUCCAGGCCAACUGUACUGUCUGGCAUUCCUGCCCAUCCUCUCCUCCAUCCCUUCAAUGGAGCCAUUUGCCUGUAAAUUCUACAGCAGUGACUUCCAUGAAGGAAAAGGGAGGGCUGUGGGUGUCUACUGAGACAAUACAAGGAAGAGGAACGUGCCAACUGCACAAAAAAGAGAUGAAAUGCACAGCUCAAUUCGCUAGAGUACAAACUGAGUCAACCAGUCAUUCUUAACAUCUCAUGUACGUUUUUGGUCUUUCUUGUUUGAUCCCAGUUGUGUAAUUAUUCCGUUCACAGGCCAUCACUUAAAUAAAUGGUGAUGGUGGAUGAACUGCCAGUCAGUGAAGGUCAUAGUGUCAACCUGGAGUGUGUUGCUGACAGCAACCCCCAGCCAGGCAGGUAUGUGUGGAUCAGACGACAGGGAGGCCAAAGCAUCCAAAUGAAUUCAACUCAGGGCAAAAUGUCCUAUCCCAACAUUAGCAGAGACACCUCAUUCUCCUGCAUUGUCCAAAAUAAUAUUGGAUCAAAUCAGUCAGCCUGGCUGUUUCUGGAUGUCAACUGUAAGUAUCUCAUUGUAUGUGUCUAUGUGUGGUUGCACAGUUUCCAAUGGAACUAACAUUAUAUUUGUACUAUGAGAUGCUAAUUCUAGCGACACAUUAUGUGUGUAAAAUAGAAGAAAGGACUCCUUUCCACCCUAACAUAGUUCUAUUGUCAUUGUUUCUCACUCACAACAGGAAGGAAGGCAAAUGUGUAGUGUCAAAAAAAACAUUUUUAAACCUUUGUGUCAUUCUGUCACUCCAGUCCCCCCAGCAAUCCUCUCUGACUCCACUUGCUCCUUGAAGGGUGGGAUUCUGCACUGUGUGUGUAGAGCAGAAGCCCGACCUAAUGCCACUCUGCACUGGACGAUCAACGGAAGCAGCACUCUCCCAUCCUCCUUCACUUCCAUCACCAUAUACAGAGAAAAUAUGGUGUCAGCAGAACUCACUGGGCCUGUGGAAAGAGGCCCGAAUGUCUCCUGUGUAGCCAGUAACUCACUGGCCACUGACAUCCAGCAGCUGCCCCUUGACACAAAAUUCACAGCUGGACAGUUUCUGCCAUGGAUGCUGACUGCUCUGGCAGUUGUGUCUUUCUGUGGGGAGCUGUAAUGUUUGUACGCAGAAUACGUUGCAGAGAGAGGUUUGUAUGGUUCUUGAUGAUGAUGAUGUCACAUAUUAAACCAUAUUAGGUGUGUCAUUUUGAAUGAUGUCUCCCAUCUACAUUAUCUGUAGACCAAAGGCCAGUUCUAAUCUCUCCACUUUGGAUAUCCCUCUAAGGUGCUCUCAUUUUUGCAUCUGUAUUUUACAUACAACAAAUAAUAAUGUUCAAGCUCAUUGACAUUGAGAUGUUUUUGUCUUUAAGGCAACCUGUCCCUAAGGUACAGCAAUCCCCAAAAGUAACAUAGGAUAACCCUUUGAAGAACCCGUUUUGGUUCCUAGUAGUACUCUUUUGGUUCCAGGUAGAACCCUUUUGGGUUCCAGGUAGUACCCUUUCUACAGAA